RNAcentral lists this ribosomal RNA (677 nucleotides) under Lentinus berteroi. Its description in RNAcentral is "LSU rRNA". It matches the Rfam family "Eukaryotic large subunit ribosomal RNA", at positions 72 to 731 of the family's 3401-position model. Lineage: Eukaryota; Fungi; Basidiomycota; Agaricomycetes; Polyporales; Polyporaceae. The record is from RNAcentral.
GGAUUCCCCUAGUAACUGCGAGUGAAGCGGGAAAAGCUCAAAUUUAAAAUCUGGCGGUCUUUGGCCGUCCGAGUUGUAGUCUGGAGAAGUGCUUUUCCGCGCUGGACCGUGUAUAAGUCUCUUGGAACAGAGCGUCAUAGAGGGUGAGAAUCCCGUCUUUGACACGGACUACCAGUGCUUUGUGAUGCGCUCUCAAAGAGUCGAGUUGUUUGGGAAUGCAGCUCAAAAUGGGUGGUGAAUUCCAUCUAAAGCUAAAUAUUGGCGAGAGACCGAUAGCGAACAAGUACCGUGAGGGAAAGAUGAAAAGCACUUUGGAAAGAGAGUUAAACAGUACGUGAAAUUGCUGAAAGGGAAACGCUUGAAGUCAGUCGCGUCUGCCGGAACUCAGCCUUCCUCUUGGUUGGUGCACUUUCCGGUAGACGGGUCAGCAUCGAUUUUGACCGUCGGAAAAGGGCUGGGGAAAUGUGGCACCCUUCGGGGUGUGUUAUAGUCCUCAGUCGCAUACGGCGGUCGGGAUCGAGGAACGCAGCGCGCCGCAAGGCAGGGGUUCGCCCACUUACGCGCUUAGGAUGCUGGCAUAAUGGCUUUAAACGACCCGUCUUGAAACACGGACCAAGGAGUCUAACAAACCUGCGAGUGUUUGGGUGGAAAACCCGAGCGCGUAAUGAAAGUGAAAG